GACGAACGCUGGCGGCGUGCUUAACACAUGCAAGUCGAACGGAAAGGCCCUGCUUUUGUGGGGUGCUCGAGUGGCGAACGGGUGAGUAACACGUGAGUAACCUGCCCUUGACUUUGGGAUAACUUCAGGAAACUGGGGCUAAUACCGGAUAGGAGCUCCUGCUGCAUGGUGGGGGUUGGAAAGUUUCGGCGGUUGGGGAUGGACUCGCGGCUUAUCAGCUUGUUGGUGGGGUAGUGGCUUACCAAGGCUUUGACGGGUAGCCGGCCUGAGAGGGUGACCGGCCACAUUGGGACUGAGAUACGGCCCAGACUCCUACGGGAGGCAGCAGUGGGGAAUACUGCACAAUGGGCGGAAGCCUGAUGCAGCAACGCCGCGUGCGGGAUGACGGCCUUCGGGUCGUAAACCGCUUUCGCCUGUGACGAAGCGUGAGUGACGGUAAUGGGUAAAGAAGCACCGGCUAACUACGUG
This 468-nucleotide ribosomal RNA is filed under the name uncultured bacterium. RNAcentral's name for it is "partial 16S ribosomal RNA". It matches the Rfam family "Bacterial small subunit ribosomal RNA", at positions 28 to 507 of the family's 1533-position model. The record is from RNAcentral.